CCUACGGGUGGCUGCAGUGAGGAAUAUUGGUCAAUGGACGAGAGUCUGAACCAGCCAAGUAGCGUGAAGGAUGACUGCCCUAUGGGUUGUAAACUUCUUUUAUAUGGGAAUAAAACGUUCCACGAGUGGGAUUUUGUAUGUACCAUAUGAAUAAGGAUCGGCUAACUCCGUGCCAGCAGCCGCGGUAAUACGGAGGAUCCGAGCGUUAUCCGGCUUUAUUGGGUUUAAAGGGAGCGUAGGUGGAUUGUUAAGUCAGUUGUGAAAGUUUGCGGCUCAACCGUAAAAUUGCAGUUGAAACUGGCAGUCUUGAGUACAGUAGAGGUGGGCGGAAUUCGUGGUGUAGCGGUGAAAUGCUUAGAUAUCACGAAGAACUCCGAUUGCGAAGGCAGUUCACUGGACUGCAACUGACACUGAGGCUCGAAAGUGUGGGUAUCAAACAGGAUUAGAUACCCUGGUAGUC
RNAcentral lists this ribosomal RNA (460 nucleotides) under uncultured bacterium. RNAcentral describes it as "partial 16S ribosomal RNA". It matches the Rfam family "Bacterial small subunit ribosomal RNA", at positions 338 to 795 of the family's 1533-position model. The record is from RNAcentral.